CAGUCGUACUUGCGGAUAAUCAGCCUUUCGGGUGCGAUUCUGUGGGCCGUGAGGAGCUUAACCGCCUUCAUGUUUUGCAUAUUCGUGCACAUUUGGUGUAACUUGUCCGUGUGGUGGGUUAACAUCAAUUUCGGUCGUCAUAAAAUGAUUGGAGGAAUGUAGCUUUGGUCUCGUAUCGAAGUGUUAUAGCCUCUGGUAGAUGCGGUGACCGAAACUGAGGAUUGCAACGAAUACCCUUCUGGGCUAUCCGUCUGACCUCUGAAAGUUGCUUAGGUGCUGAAAGCUUGCUUAUGGCUAUCAAAGUCGAUGGUCAAUAGGUUAGAACGGUUAAAUUCGUUAAGGAUGUUGUCGUAAUGG
This 357-nucleotide ribosomal RNA is filed under the name Rhizophagus intraradices. The record is from RNAcentral. Lineage: Eukaryota; Fungi; Glomeromycota; Glomeromycetes; Glomerales; Glomeraceae.